This 43868-nucleotide long non-coding RNA is filed under the name Sorghum bicolor (sorghum). Its description in RNAcentral is "long non-coding RNA (SBIC_LNC017110)". Lineage: Eukaryota; Viridiplantae; Streptophyta; Magnoliopsida; Poales; Poaceae. The record is from RNAcentral.
GGGGCUUGUAACCGUCACUUGUGUCUUUAACAGUUAAAAGAUAGAACGGUCUAGUCAAGCGCCAUGUCUCUUGUUCUUCGAUUAACUAUAGCUCUGGAGUUUUUGUAGAUUUUCAAAUAAAACUCAGAGAUUCCUUGUAUGACUCUCUCUAGUCUCUCUUUUGUGGUAUUUCUGGAUCCUUACCAAGGCAGUAAUGGUGUGUGCCAUCUCUCAAAUUAUGUGGUAUUUGUGGUAUAAGGCAUAGUGGCAUUGCCUUCUCUCUCACCCUACUCUAAUAAGGUUUUGAUAUCUGGAGCUCAUAGGUGGGAGACAGCUAAUACAUACUUACAAGACAUUUAUUGCAUAGUCAAACCAUGGAUCCAGAAGAACAAGUCAAUAAGUCAAAUCAAGAUAUGCAUGUGUGGUGAAUGAAUGGUGUAUGGUAAUGAUGGUGAUAACAAUGGUGAAAGUCUAAUUCUACUUGUGCUCUUUUGAGGGGAUACAUACCUUUCUUGCUCUUUUGAAACUUUUUGAGGAGAAUGAGAUGCUCUAUAUUUUCUUUUUCUUUUCUCUCAGGUGGGUAUCUUGUACCCCUAAUUCUACUGUCGGACACUUGUCCAUUUUUACCUCUCGUCUCACUUUUUCUUUUCUUUCGAGGUUUCGGGCACUUGCCCCUUUUUAUUUCCUCGUAUUCUUUCUUUUUUUUUCUCUCUCUUUUCUAGAGCACUCAUCUCCUAAAAUAAUAUAACAAGUGGUAGUAACCAAGAUAACUUGAGCAUUUAUUUCAUAGGGAAAAACAGAAAUGUUUUUGGCUAUUCUCUCCCGGAUUAGGAGUAGAAUAUUUUUAGGUGAUUCUGGAGAUGGAAAUGGGUGGAUAUAUGUGGAUGCGUACGUCCGGAGUAGAAGCAGCAUGUGUGAGUGAACGUGCAAGUGAAUCUUGACUUAACCACAUGACAAGCUCCUAAGGGUCUACACAGCUUGACCACACUCAAUGCUCAUAAGCAGUAAAAAGUAAAUGUGUGGCUCAAAGUCUAGCAAGCAUGUAUAUAUGGCUGUGGUAGGAAUUUAAACUCUCAUCAUACAGGAACUCAUCAUGCAACAUUUUAAAGAUUUUUUUCAAAGAUAAAAUUCUCCAGAAUUCUAGCAUCUCUAGGAACAGAUAAACAGCAGCUCAACCUUCCCAUAUCAUAUCCGUUAACAACUUAGACUUUGGAUCAAGUACUCUCCCCACAAGUUCAGGUUUAGAGCAAAUCUUAAUUCAUAACAGUGAUGCCUAAACUUGAGAGAGAUUUCAAUUUUGAGAACUAGUCAUGGCAGAGCAACUAUUCAUCAUUUCCAUGUGAGAGCUUAUCAUAAGGGUUCAUAGCAAACUUUAUUUAUUUAUUUAUUUAGCAAACUAAGAAAAGACAUAUAUAAGCACAAAAUCUUUAUUUUGGUUUUUAUGAUUAUGCAUCUUUUUAUUAUUAGAGUAAAGUAUAAACGUGAGUAGAACACUUAGCUAGAUAAAUGGGGGUGCUCUCCCCCAAGCUGGAUUUUGACGUAAUUUCUUCUGAUGUAGCUAGCAGGUGACGGAGGUGUAUUUGAAUGUCGGCAGCAUCCUGACAGCGGUUAGGAUGUUCUCCGUCUGCUAGUCUUCUUUGAUCCUUGAAUUCUAUGGAGCUUAAAUAGACAACAAAGCUUUGUGGAACUAGUUAAGUGUUAGCAUAAAUAUUUAGCCUUUAUCAUGUUGAGCCUCCUCAAUAAAUGUUACACUCUUUAGUAGGAUCACAAUCUUAUUUUUACAAUUUUAUUUUUAUAGGACAGGAAUAUAUUUAUUUCAUUUUUAUGCCACCACAGUGAAUGUACGUAUGGGUUUUAUGCCAUGAGCAUAAUCACAUGGGGCUUACUAUUUUUAUUUUCUUUUCAAGAUGAUAUGAACCUGAUUAACUAAGCAAACCAUUUUAAAAUAAUUGAAAGGGAAAGGAUAACUACCAAGUUUACCUCUUGGCAAGGCGUUCGGUGUUUUUAAGUCCUCCGAACGGUACCCUCCGUUUUCUCAGUCGUCCUAGGAUUCGCUGGAUGGCGUAGUCGGUGGUUCUGGCGGCUCCUGCUCUUCAUGUAUAACUAUCUUCUCUCUACACACCCGACUCAGUGCUACGAUCUUCUCAGGAUAGUUCUGUUCAAGUUGUAUGUCUUCAGACCUUACAACUUCUCCUUCAUAGUCUACCCAUCCGUCCUUGAUGAUUUUGCCUUCUCUGGUUACGGUUGCGUCGUCUUCUUCUUGUCGUGACCUGCUUAGAGUCUUCAACUAUAUAAUUAAGGUCAGUAAAAUAGCGGCGUACCUUCUUAGAGAGGAAGUGCAUGUGGACUUCUCUGGUUCCAAUGUAGAUGAUUGCUUUAAUGGUGCUGAGGAACGGUCUCCCAAUGGUGAUGGGUGUAUUGUACUCGUCUUCUCCCAUGUCAAUAACCUGAAAAUCAUCUGGAGCUGAAUGUAUGUUGGUUGUAGGGUCAUGGUUCCAUGCAGGAGCUGAUAAGUGACUGCGGCCAUUAUGUUGACGUCAGAUCCAGUGUCGUAGAGUGUCUUCUGAAAAGAAUAUCCGUUGAUUGUGCACUCGAUGCUUGGAACACUAGGGUCGUCCUUCUUGAUCAAGAAAGGCGACUUGAGUUGACGAUCUUGACCUCCUUGAGCUGCAGUGACCAUCUUAGCUGACUUGGUCCACAUUUGCUUGGUCCUGUUCCUCGUGUUGGUCCUCUUCCUAGGUUCAUGUCGGGAUUGCUCUGAGAUUUGUGUAAUCUUGUUCUUGAAGGAAAACGUCUCCUUCCUCCCUUUGAUGUAGAAACUGAUCUUGGCAGCACUAGCAUAGAUGACAGCUCCCGAGGUGUUCAGGAAUGGCUUCCUCUGGGCAUAAUGUUGACGUUGGAGCCAAAGUCGCAGAGUGCUUCUGGGAAGUCCACCAUGCCGAUGGAGAUCGGGAUGACGGGGCGUCCUGGAUGGCCUCUCUUGACUGGCAGAAGGUCAGUAAUUACUUCCACAAUGGGGUUACUCCAGUAGUUACGUCCUCAAGCAUCUCAAGGCAGUGAUUGCCUGAGUGUCCAGUAUCUCCAGUGUGUUUGUGCUCGUAGAUCUAGGUUCUUCACUUGGUGGAGUCUGGGAGUUGUAAAAGUCCUUCAUAUUUUGCUCGAAGUGUACCUGCUCAUAGAGACAAGGCAAAGAUCUAGUGCAUGGGCUCUGUUGGUGAAAAACACCAACAGAACCAAAAGUGUAUUUGUUCUCUCUAACCUUAAGCAUAGUGAGCAAGACAAAGUUGAUGGAUAAAAAGAUCAUGAGUGUAAGAUUUAAAACAUUUGUGAGAUCAGAUCGCUCAACCUAAUGGAAAGAUAAUCUAUCUAUACUUAUUAUUUUUUUUAUAUAUCUUCCAAAGAUUGCGUGUGCGACAUUUUAGUUCAUAUGAUUAGGAGUGUGGGAUCACAAAGGUGGAAGGACUAAACAUAUUGAAUCGACUGGGUUGGUUAAUCUAGAGUUGUAAAUCAUACAUGUUUGUCUCUUUUAUUCAUAUGAACGCUAGAACCAAGGAGAAACUUAUAAAAGUGAUAGACAAGUACCUUAAGAUGUUAUCUUACUUGAAGAGUGAUGGUACAGUAUCACCUUGUGGAAGCUUUCCUUUCUUAGCGGUUGUGCAUCAUGUUUGUGGCACCCUCCAUAGACCAUCUCUUGUGAGCUAUGCCUUCCCUGUGUAAAUUGUUAAACUUCAUGUGCCUCUCUCUUUGUCUCCAAUGUGAGUUUGUCUCAGGACUUCCCAGGUCAAUAUUGAAAGUUUUCCUGCAGGGGUUAGUCCAACAAAAUAUCCAAUAUCUACUAUAGCAUACUAUCGCCUCAAAGAUCAAACUAGACACCAUGUCUAAUUUGAUUUAGGAGGGAAUUUUAACCUAAGCAUCAUGCUUAAUUUAAACUCCCUUGGAAGUAAGAUCAUCAGCCCUAAACUAAGCACCAUGCUUAAUUAAGAGAUAAAUGAAACUACUCCAAACCUAGACAUAUACUAAAGUAAAUAAAGGUAGCAUGAGAGCAUUUAUAGAGAUCUACUCAAGUGGAGAUGAAGUAGUGUGAUUAGUAUUUAACAAAUUGAGCAUGUCUCAAAGGUAGGGACAACCAACAUAGCAACAUGGCAAAGAAUGUUUUUAUGUAAAGUACUCCCCCAAGCUUGAAUUUUGCAAAAUUCAAGUUUGGAUGAAUUUAAUUCAAUGUUGUAUGAUGAUUGGUUGGACAUACCUUGUGCUUGUAAUUCAUCCGAUCUUCUUGCUCCAAUCCUGGAAAGGUUAGUGACAAGAAUACCCGAAGGAAUUUUUUACAAUUAUCCUUAUAUGCUCAACACACAAGGUAAUGUUGCAAAUAAUUAAAAGCUCAUGUUACGAUCUGAUCAGUGCUUAUUUUAGGACACUAAGCUUGUCCUUGGGAAACCAUUAAUUUAUGUCGGUGAAAUGGUUUCCCCUCCAACGCUGACCUAUAUCAAGAUCAACUCAACGAGAUCUACAAAAUUUGUUAUAGACAUAUGCAUCGACAACCGCCCUUUUAAAGUUUUUAUAAAUAGAAAAGAAGUGGGGGUUGGAGAUCUCGAAUGUGGUGAUGUUGGAGAGACCAAUGGACUGUGAAGAUGUUGCAUACGAGCAUGGAGUAAAUGAAGUGGCUAUGAAAUAAAUUCCAUGCUCAUUAAUGCUUAGAGUGAAAUCCAUGUGGUAUGGUGAAAGUGAUAAGGUGAGUGUGGUAAAUAAAGGAAAAGAAAAAGGAUACACGGACGACUUGGUUCGAAACUAGCACAGCUACCGUUCUCCGGCAACGGCGCCAAAAAGCUUGUUGGGUAAUUUAAACGCAAACAGAAAAAUCCGCAAGCGCACGGAUACCGAUGUAGCUUUCACCCGAGAGUAUUCCAGAGUAUCGAUUUUCCACAGAGAACGUGAGUGUACUAAUUAAGAUCCAAGAUCGCCCAAGGAUAACUAUAUAAUUAUUUUUGGUGGGAAGAGAGGAAGUUUUCUGAGAGUUCUCUAGUUGAUCUAAGAAUCAAGAAUUACUUCAAGAUUAUCUAUAUCGGGACAUCAGAGCACUAACCACAGAAAGAGAUGAGAAGGGGGCUAGGAAGGUCUGACUACGGUCCUACAAACACCGAUCCGAACGAGGUGGAAUACGUCGACCGUUAGGGCUGUCACUACCCUAAGGCUACCACAAAAAUCCGCAGGAUUGGGUGCAAUUCCAGGUAAUUGCAAGACUAAACACCACGUCUAAUCUAUUAAUUACUACUCUAGCGUUAUAAAGACUAGAGCACUUGAUGCAAGCGGGAAUCCAAUAAAUAACUUGAAUGUAAAUAAAAGUAAUUAAUGUACUUAGGAAUUAUGAAUUGAAGAACCUGGAGAACGAUGAAGAACGAACCAGUUGCUGCAAAAGUACAAUGUUGAGGAAGAUCCAACAGAUCCGGCUCCUCCUCCGCUCUCCUCUUCUCUCUCCCUAUUUUCUAGAUUACAACUAGAACUAACUAGAACUAGAACUAGAGGAACUAGAACUAGAACUAGAACUAGAUGAACUAGAACUAGAACUAGAAGAACUAGAGGUAGAACUAGAAGAACUAGAGGGAUCCUCUCUACUUGGAUGAAGAAUUGAAACCCUAACUUUGAUUCUGUAGAAGAGGUAUGAUCUCCAGGGGCCAGGGGGUCUGGUUUUAUAGUCCCUUCAAGUGAAUAUGGGCCGUUGGAUCAAACGGACAUUGAUUGAACGGUUAUCCUUGAUCCUUUAGGUCGGUGGAGCAAUAUCCCGAAAGAGAGUCCUGCUUGGACUCUGGUUGAGGGCAGGCGCCCAGGAGAAGAGGGCGGGCGCCCUGUCCCUGAGUCCUCUCGGCCUCCGCUUCGGUCCCGUGGCUUCUGGAGUCUUCUAGAUGAUAGAAAAUUGCUCGGCACGUUAAUAUCUCUAUGUAAACCCGACGUGUGGGCCUUUCUUCCGUAUUUCCUGAUAACCCCCUGCAGAAAUAGACAAACAAGAAAACUCGUGGAAUUCUGUCAGAUAAAACCCUAAAUCUAGAUGUUGGUUUCAUUUAGAUCCUUUUCUAUGAUUAGUUGAUGGUUAAAUGUGAGCAUUAAGGACCGUCAACACCCGCUACGGUAAAUCGAUAUUUACCACAGCGGACAUCUUAAUACGUCUGCCACGGAAAAUAUAUAUUUUCCGUGGCGGACGUAUUAAGAUGUCCGCUGCGGUAAAUCAAUUUACCGCAGCGGGCAAAAGUGUCUGUCGCGGUUAAUUAAAAGUGCCCGAUGUGGGAAAUCGCACGAUUUACAGCAGCGGGCAAAAAAAACGCCCGCCACGGAGUGAACAGUACCAACGUCACGAAACUUCGUUUCUCUAGUAGUGUUUCUUUUAGCCAGUAGUGUUUUUCUCUCACAAUAAAUCAGUCAACAAUAAUUUCAACCAUAACUUUUUCAGACCAGCGAAUGUCUUUCAUCUAACUCAGCCAGUUGUGCAGGUCUUGUUGGAGGUGGUGAAAGCCCAAGUUUGGUUUUAGUAAUUAAUGAUACCAAGUUGCUAAUGCCUUGUGAUUAAGUGAUUUGAGUUAGGCAUAGCAACACAUGUGAUGAAGAUGCAUGGUGGCAUGGGAAGAUGGCCACAUGAUCACAAAGAGAUGAAGCAUAAAGUGGAGAUCAUGGUGAUAGACGAGGAGUAAAGUGAUGAAGGCAAAGGUAUAAACAUUUACUUUUGUCGGUCUAAGUUGAGUAGAGAAGUGAUUGACCGGAUUUAGGAUAGAUAGCCGACUAUCAAGAGGGGAAAUCACGGUCAUUUCUUGAAUCAAGUGCUACUAGGUCCAUAUCUUGAGCAUAUGCACUAGAAUCUAGUAAAGUGCUAACUUAACUCCUUUAAUGAAAAUAUUUGUAAAAAGCUAACACACAUACACUUUGGUGGUGAACACUUGUUGGUGUCAGCGCUUUUGAGAAAAUUAAGUGUAUAUUUUCUAAUGCGCCAGUGGGAAAUUUGGAGAAGUCACGGGAGUGUUUCUCACACCGGACGCGUGGUGCAGAGGCAUCGGACGCUGGCCUCAGCGUCCGGUGUGCUGUCAGUGCUUGACCCUGCUAGGGUUGAGCACCGGACGCAGGGUGUUUCCUGUUUAUGCAUCCGGUGGCCUAUCUUAAAUAGAGGGUGUAUGUCUGAGAGCACCGGACGCUCUGAGUGCGUCCGGUGGUGUGCGUCCGGUGUGAGGAGGUUUUGCAACCCUCUCUACGCAUAAGUCCGACGCGUCCGGUGAGACCUGAGUUUUACAAACUCUCGGCGCACGAGUCCGGUGAGUACCGGACGAGUCCGGUGUUCACUUGGUCACGUCCGGUGGUCCGCAGGUGACCGUUAGAGUUUGACGCGCGAGAUUCAAAGGAGGACACGUGGCCAACCUCAGAACAUCGAACGCAGGGGGUUUAGCGUCCUGUGCUCACUUAGUAGCAUCCGGUGUGCCCGACUGCAGCCCAUUAAAAACAGCCAACGGCUAGUUUCUUUGAGGGGCCUUAUAAAUAGGAGGUGGCCAACUUUGGGAGGUUCUCUCUUGCACAUUUGAUUACUUGAGGUAUACAUUAAGCUAGAGAACACUCCCUCCACUCAUCUCCUUGCUUGAUUGCUAAUCCUAGUGAGAUUAAGUGAGAUUCAAGUGCAUUGCUUUGAGAGUUGCAUUUAGUGGCACUUGAUUUUUGAGUUUGCUGCGGAUUUCUUUGUUGCUCUUGGGUGUUUCCCGACGCCCUAGAUGGCUUGGAGCAGCGGUGGUGUUGAGCUCGUGAUUGGAGAUUGUUUUGAGCCUCACCAAGUGAUUUGUGAGGGGUUCUUGAGCCUUCUCCGUGGGAGAUCGCAAUUGGCUACUCUAGUAGAUUGCUCGUGGCUUGGAGGAUCCCCAUCUUGUGAGUGGAUGUGCGGCACCCGCUGAGGGUUUGGCUUUGGAUUGCCAAUUAGCUCGCAAUCCAUCAAGUAGGUGUAUCGCCACAACGAGAAGUAGCUUGCCGGGAAGCAAGUGAACCUCGGUAAAAAAAUCUUGUGUCAUCUCUUACCGAGAUCUCUCUUGUGAUUGUGUAUGUGAUUGAUUGGAUAUAUCUCAUCUCUACAAUGUUAGUAUAACAAUCACUUCCCUCUCAUUUAUUUGUGCAUACCUUGCUAAGUUGUGUAGCUUAUUUAGCUUAGCUCUCUUGUUUAGGAGUGUAGCAAACUUCUAGUUGUGUUUUCUUGUUGUAACUAGUGUUUAGCCUUCUUGCUAGAUUUGUGUAGGUGGCUUGCAUAGCUUAGUUAUGCUAGUGCUAAUAUAGCUUCGCCUUUUGUUUUACUAAUCAACUUGUCUAGUAUAGCUUAGUUGAAGUUUGUAUAGGCUAUUCACCCUCUCUAGUCAUUUGGACCUUUUAGGUGGCCUUAGAUUUCAGGCACAUUAUGUUAAAAAAAAAGAUUUUCAGGCACAUUGUGUCCACCAGCGAGCUAAAUUUUAAAUAUAUGUUCAUGAAAAUAUAAGAUUGAACUGUCCGAUUUCAGUUACCUCGUUCUACCGGCGAAAGAAUAGGAUGCUAAAUUUUAUAAUAUACCCAUGAAAAUAUGAGUGGGCUGAUUAAUUACCCGCUAAAUUAUAAUCCUAGUUCGCUUAACCAUAAACCAUUUCCUAGUAAAGACAGCCAGUCUCGGAAAAAAAAGAAAAAGAAAAAAGAAAAGCCAGCCUAGAGGAUCUUUCUGUUUGAGUUAUUUUAGUAGAUGCUGUGUAACACCUAAAAAUUUGAUUUCAAUUAAUAGGAAUUAAUUUGAUUUAAUUAAGUAUUUUUGUGAGCAUUUAAAUUUAAUACUUAAAUAAUUUUUUUAUUGAAAUUAAAAUUUUUUAUAAGUUUAGUAAACUUAAUUGUGCAUUCAUGCUGAGACAUAUUUUAUUUUGUGUUGAUUGCUUUUGGUUUGUAUUUAAUUGUCCUCAAAAUCCUUUGCAAAAAAGGCUUUGAAAAAAAAUAAAACAGAAAAGAAAUUAGAAAAAAGAAAAAGAAAAAGGGGAGACAGCUCCCUGGAACCAGGCCGGAGCCCAACUCGCUCGGCCCAGUCCCUCCCCUUUCUCCCGCGGCUCAGCUCCCCCUUUCCCCCUCACCUCGGCCCAACUGGCAGCCCCGCACGCGCGCCCUCCCCUCUCCCUUCUCUUUGUGUCCGUCAGCCGGGGCCCGCACGUCAGCGGGUUUUCUCCGUUUCCUUUCUUCUCCGCGCGUCACCGAGCGGGACUCGGUGGAAACCACCGAUGCAAUCCCGGCUUCCACGGAAUAUUUCCCUUCGACGCGGUUUUAAACCCUAUAAAGGCCUCCAGCUUUGCCCCGCACUCCGUUUUCCCACCGAGCCACGAAAAUUGAGCCCUAGCCGCCUAGGUUAGCGCGUCGGGAUUUCGCCGAGAGCCUAGCUAGCCGCCGCGCGCAGCGAGCCCUCUCCUUUGCUCCUCGGUCUGAGAAAAGUCGCUAGGUGAGUCCGCUGUGAGCUCCUCGUUCUAUCGGAGUUUUUCUUUCGCGUUUUGGUGCACGGGAGCGAGAGAACCGAGAGCUCCGGCGAGGCCUUCAAUGGCGCCACCGCGUCGGGCCUGAGACUGGCGGCCGGCCGGCCGGAGUUCGGUAGGGAGAAGUCACAGUCGUUCGAUUGGAAUCCGACGGUUGAUGAUAGAAGAUACCCUUUCACUAGCUGUUUUCUUUAAGAGCCCCUGAGAGUUUUUAUUAUUCCACCCGCAGUCCCUGGCGGUUUUCAUAGGAUACGUUUUCUUCAUUUAAAAGCGUAUUUCAGUUUAGUUCUCUCAGAAUACGUUUUCAGUUAUACACAGAUUUGCCACUGAAAGUAUUUUGCUCAUAAAAUAUUUAUUUGAACUUCAUUUUCGUCCAUUCAAAUUUCGUUAGAUUCGUAUUUACGAGCUCUACAUGUUAGAUGUAUUAUUUCUCUGUUUUGAAACUUAUUAUUUUUGCAGUAGCAUUUAAUUAAUUAUUUAUCUAUAGGAAAUCUUAGAAAAUUCAUAACUUCUACGUAUUAAUUCUGAUUUUUCGUGAACUUUAUGUUUGUGUGAUCGUAGCGCUGCGUAGAAUAUUUUUAUAAACUUUUAUCUUUGAUUUACCACUGUUAGUGUAAUGUUCUAAUUAUAGCUUGUUUGCUUCAUGUAUGAUUGCCUACAUUGGAUUGCGUGUUGUUGAUUGAUGUUUGGGAGUAGACAGUGAGUCGUACGUUGGUGACCAAGACCAAGCUUUUAAAGACCAGCAGUAGGCUCAGGAGAGCUUUGAUCAAGGCAAGUAUAACUUGGGAUCAUCCUUGUUACCUAUACACAAUUAAGUACAAUAUAUAUCAUAUGCAUGUUUCCACCUUGAUGACCUUAACAAAAUCAUAGAUGAUUGUUAUCCUGAAUUCCUUGUUAGCUAUUUGGAUAUGCAUUUGGGUAGUUCUUGCUAGUGCUUGAGUAUAAUCCAUUAUCUUGUAACAUGAAUAUUUGAAUAUACAAUAAACAAUAAAAUAAGCUUUAGCAAAUUGAACAUAAAAGGUGGAAAGAACUCUAGCUUUUGCUAGAUUGAUCUUAACCCUCCAUAAGGACUUAUCCCUUGGCAAAAGCUGGGACAACUCGUACAACCAUGAGAGAUACAUGGCUCUGGUUUUAGCUCAGUAUGAGGAUCUUUUUCUAGCUUGUUAGCGGUUACCUUAAAUGGCGUAAGAAUGGCUAGACACGUUGGGUAUAGUGCGGCCUCUGUCCGUGUGUAUAGGCUGCGUGUUAUGUGCCAUGGAAGGGGGGCUCUAUAUCUGCCUGCCGAGUGAAUCUAAUGGCCCUAACUUGUUAGACGAAACCUUUGAAAGGCUUCAUAGUGAUCCCUGCCGACCUCCCUAAGAAGGGGGUUAAGAGACUUGCAACCUCGAGCGAAAGGGUAAAUCACGACUCAUGGGUAAAGAUGUACAAUUUCUAUAGAGUGUUAAAUUAGGUAUACUAGCCGUGCGCCAAUUUUCAUAGAGAUAUUAACUUGUGCGCCAAUUUUUCUCGGUCUAGAAGGUUCCAGAAGCCACGCGAACGAACGGGAGGCCGAGCAGGCCCACAGGCAGGGCGCCCGCCCUACCCCCCUGGGCGCCCGCCCACCUCUGGUGGCCAAUCACGGUGAAUCACGCGGAUUAUGCUCCACCGCCUUUGAGGAUCAAGGAGAACCGUUGAAUCAAGGUCGGUUUGAUCCAACGGCCCAGAUUCAUUUGAGAGGGCUGUCGGUGUUUUCCCCACGGGGGGUCACACCAACGAGUAAAUUUGUAUGCGUGCUCCCUUUCCCAGAUGGUGAUGCAAGAAGACACAGAGAUUUAUCCUGGUUCGGGCAAGAGAAGGCCUUACGUCCAGCGGGGGGAGAGAGUUUGUAUUAUCUUGCACCUAAGUGCUUGUACAGGGGUGAAUACAAGCGUGGUAUGGAGUGUGGAGAUCUACUGCGUAUGAACCUGGUGUUGUCUCUUGUGUUCUAUUCCUGAGUCCCUCCUUUUAUAGUUCCAAGGAGAGACCCAGGGUACAUGUAUAGGCGUCAGAAUAAGAGUCGAUAGCAGUAUGGAGCGCUGACCUACUCGAGGCUUCCGUACCGGCAUGGCCUCGAGCCGUCCCGUCUUAAUAGCCUGGUGAUGAUUACGCGUGCCCCUGCAUUCUGCUCUGCGUGCCGUCUUGUACUGGUUCAACGGUCGCAUGCUCGUACGGUUUGGCGGCAAAUCCGGCGGAGUGGUUGCGGCGUGGCCAGUCGACGUCCGACCCGUCCCCAGGAAGGAACCAUGUUAAGUCGAGGGUCGGACGCCGUACGACGUCCUGAUGUCGGAGCGCUGACCUUGGCUGCCUCGAGGGGGUCUUGAUUAGACGUGCCAUCUCUGUUUCCCACGUCCUGACACGCCCUGGGCCGUUUGGUGGGGAAGGCUGCAAAAAGAUCGAUGGGACGGAUGCCUGUUCCCUAUCACGCCUCCUGUGACCCAUGUGUUAGGUGGGGAAGCAUCAGGCGCAUUUAAUGCCCCGGCUCGCGUGCGCGCGUCAGGCGGCGGGCGGCGUCCUUGCGCUCGACACCUCCCGGUUCGCGUGAGCCUGUUCCGUAUUCGACGGUAACCAGAGCUCGACGCCUGAUUGAUUCGCUCGACGCUAUUUCCGUCUUCGAGGCUGUGGCCGUCGAUGGCUGCGCAUACGUACGGAUGGAGCGUCGAAUCGAGGGCCUCGUCCUACGUACGGAUAACCUUGUUAUAUGCACUGGUGAGGGUACCCCUUGUUGAUACCCUCGACAGUAGCCCCCGAGUCUCCAUUCGAGCGCUGGCGCUCGAGUGGAGACUUUUGCUUUUACGGUCGAACUUCCGUGGGGGCGCGCGAGCGACCCCGCGGGGGUAGCCCCCGAGCCCUCGAGGGAGUUUUUAAUUCCUUUGAGGGUUAUUUUGCCAAAUUCGCAGAAGCGCUAUGGACACCAUUGGUGGAAGGUUCUGAUCGGCUUUGCCUUCGGAGGAGGUUUCGACGUACUCUCGAUAGAGCGAGCGUCUUCCACCCCAGAUUGAGUUCCUAGCGGGUAGUCCAAGUGAGAACCUGUGCCCUUUUCGAGGGGGUCAGCUGUAGCCCGGAGGCGUUCUCAUAAAGCUGGGUUGACGUGGUCGGGGAUACCGGUCUCAUUCGAUAGAGUCCAGCGGCUCGAUGCCUCCCGUCGGGGGGAUUCCUCUCGACUGUCUCGACCCUACCUUGGACAUCGCCAGCGAGUCUUCGAGGCGGGCCUCGAUCUUCGACCGCUCGCUGGAGAUCCCUGACUCUGGUGCUCGAGAUCGGCUGUCGAACCCUUUCGGUGGGCCAGCCUGCGACCUCUCGAGGCUUUCGCGGGCACGCCCCUUGGCUUACAAGGGAAGGAAGUGGCCGUGGCGGUUCGCCUUUUUGCCCGUUGGGCGCACCUUUUUAGGCGGGUGACGUUAUGACAUUGUAUCGGCGUGGAAUUCGGAGCGCCCGGCCUGUGAAGGGGGAAAGACUGUUAGGUAGCGCAUUUAUGGGUGGACGUUACCUCAUUUCUCGGAUCUGUCCGUUGGCGGAUCUUGGCUUAUAAAUACGCCGCGGCACCGCCGCCGUUCUUUCUUCCGCCUCCCAUCUUCACUCUUGCCUUAGCCUUCUUGCCGCCCUAGCUCUCUCGCCGUCUCACGCGCACACGACUCCUCGAGCAGUAGCGGGUCCACCGUCCCUCCGGUCGUGAUGCCUGUAAGACUCGUCGCCGCCGACGACUGGCGCCCGUCGUCGAUGACGGAGUGCCGGUUGUUAGAGCUUGAGAAAGAGGGACUGCUGCGCCGCCGUACCUCGUUAUCGUCGCCAGAGUGGAUCGCGCCGCCGGCGAAUCACAGGGAGCCCCAGCCGCCCGAGGGCUACGUGGUGUCGUUCGCCAAGUUCCACCGCCACGGCCUGGGCGCGCCCCCGAGCCGCUUCAUGCGGGCCCUCUGCUUCCACUAUGGGGUGGAGCUCCAGCACUUCUCCCCAAACGCCAUCACCGUCGCGGCGGUCUUCGCCGCCGUGUGUGAGGGCUACUUGGGGAUGAUGCCGCACUGGGAGAUGUGGCUCCACCUCUACAGGGGCGAGCUUUUCCACGCCCCCACCGGAACCACGGGCGUAAGGAAACCCGUGCGGGCGGGAUGCCUCAAUCUUGUGCAGAAGACGGGGAAGACGGACAGGCCGCGGGAGUACAUCCCGGUAGGGUUAUCGACCAACCACGCCGGCUGGGACUCCCAGUGGUUUUACUUGCGGAACGACGACAACCUCCUGCCUUCCUACUCGGGCCGUCUGAUCAUGGAGCGUCCAGCGGAUUGGACAUACGGCGUCGUCCAAGCUCAUCAAUCUCGGCUCGACCCCCUCCUCGACGCCAUGAAGAAGCUGCGCUUGGAGGGCUUGACCGCCGCCCUCGUCCUCUCGGCCGUCCAUCACCGGAGAGUUCUCCCUUUGAUGUCUCGGCCGUUGAGGAUGGAUGAGAUGGGCCCUGGCGUCUCAUCUCUGGACCUCGAGGCGUGCCAGAUGUCCAACGAGGCUCCGGCGGAUGACGAAGUCGCGGCCCAAGUCAGGGCUGCAAUUGCCGGUGAUUUUCAGCCGGAGCAUGUUAACGGCUUCCCCAUGAGGCCAGAUGCUGGCUCGAUCGAUCUGGUAUGUUUUCUCCAUGCGCGCAGCCUCGAUUCUGGGUUUCUUUUCUUCCCCUCUCUUUUUCUCUUCUAAGUCUGCCUUUAUUACGACAGGGACGGAUUGACGUCCGGUCCUCGAGGCCUCCGGUAAAGGAGGACGAGGUCGAUCGCGACAAACGGCGCCAAUCCGCCGAAAAGCUCAAGUCCGCCAAGGACUCUGCCAAAAAGGGGGAGAAGAAGAAGAACCUCGACCGUCAAGCAUUAGAGGCGCGUCGAGCCAAAUCCAGGCAGAGGGGGGAGCCUGAGGAAGAAUCCCCCAACGACGAUGACGACGACGACGACAGCGACGAUUCCGAGGGGAUGGCAUCACGCCUUGACCGAAUCCUCGAGGGUCCACCUCGAGGUGAUGUCGACGCUCCUCGGACGGAAGUUCCGACGGGGGGUCCAGGCGGAUCCCACCAUCCGCGCGCCGACACCCCUCCUGCGCCCGUGGCUGGUCAGGUCGCCCCGCGCCCUCCUCCCGUGCCCAAGACGGGCGGCCACGCUAGGUCCCAGGCGACGGGGCCACUGACUCGUGGUCGCGCCGCGGCCUCCGACAAAGGAGAGGCCGGUCGCAGGAGCGCCAGUCCCGGCGCCCGCCAGGCAGGAACUGACGCGCCUGGGCCAGCGCCUGCCCUCGAGGGGUCUGGAGCCCUGACGCGGGGUGGCUCGAGGCCCACCGGUCGGGGUGGCGGGAGGCGAGCUGUUCUCCCUGUGGGGUAAGCCUUUUCGAUGUUGUGGCUUUUGUCUUCCUCCUCUUCCGCCUUUCCUCAUAUGCUGAUCUUUUUCACGCUCAUUUCUUUCUUUUCUCAGGCUAAAGCGGACCCUCGAGCAGGCCCAGCCGUCCAUGGCGAAGAGGCUCAAAGCGGGUGCCGCCUCCAAGGAGCCAGGUUUGUGGCUUACUUUUGGGAUCUGUGAUGCUCUUGCGCUAACCAUCGUAGUCACCGGCCUUUAUUCUUUAUUUUGUAGGCUCCUCCGACUUCCAACCUCCAGUGGGCGCUGAGAGUGCUCUGCCUCGUUCCGAGCCUACCCCGUCGCUGCCGGCGUGUGGUGAGGCGCCCCAGACGCAAGUGCCGGAGGGAGCCCCCGAGCCUCCUCGAUUGGGGGUCGAGGGGGAACCCAUCACCAUCAGUGAUACAUCUGAUGGUAACGAAACACCUGGAGGCGCCCACCCUAUGGAGGAGGAAGCGUCGACCUCUCACCUCGCGGGACCGACUCCCUGGCCCGCCGGCCUCGGUGCCCUCGAGGAGCAGAAGAAGAAGAGGGAGGAAGAUGAAGAGCGGGAGCGUGAGGUGGCGCGGCAGCCGCCGGAGCAGAGCCGCGGGCGAGAGCCGCAGGAGCAUGAGGCGCAACAACAGCAACAGCCGCAGGGGGGCCAAGAGGAGGGACUGCUCGAGCCCCCGCCCCAAGGUCCGGCCCAGCCAGUACCGCCGGAGCCGCAAGGGCCCGGCGAGCAGGAAGAGGAUCUGCCGGUGUACGGCCCCCCGACCCCAGCGUGGCUCCUCCCGGGGGCACCUGCCGUGAUCCGGGCAGAGCCGGGGCGAGCGGAUGGAGUGGUGGCGCUCGCCUGCAUGAUGCGCACCCCCACCGACCCCGAGUUCGAGAUCAAGAGGACGAUCUACGGCAUGGACAGGAUCGCCCCAGGGUUCCUCCGGGAGCGUCAGGCAUGGGAGGACCGCUUUCCCUCCGAGGAGGAUGAGAUCGGGACAUCGGGGACCAAGGACGGAACCUGGAAGACGGUGGACGACGACGGGCGGUUCCCAUGCCUCGUCGACCUGUUCCUGCGCCAUGGGGGCUCCCUCGAGACCGUCAAGGACCUCAUCCGCGGCGUCAAGGCACGGGCCGACCGGGAGAUGGAGCACUGGUGCCCCGAUCGGAUCCGCAUCCGGGCUUCCCACGACCCGUCCGAGCCUAACAUCUUCCUGGACGAUAGGAAGGAGGCGGAGAAGUGGGAACACGUCGAGGAGCUCCGCCUUUGGAUGAAGCACGUGGUGGGGCUCCUCGCAGACGUUAUCAACAACGGGCUCGGGCCGGCUUAUUUCGUAAGUGUUUUUCGAUCUUCAACCCUCAUGGAGUCUUUCGGUUUUUGUGCUCUAACCGCUCGACCCUUGGUUCGCAGGAUAUGAAAGAGACCUCUCGCAUCAAGUCCAGUUUCAUUCACGCCACGAGAGGCGGCUGGGAGCAGCUCCCCCUCCUUAAGGAUCAACUCCUCGAGUCGCAGGAGAAGCUCCUUCAGGCCUACAAAGACCUCAUAGCGCUCGAGGAGGAGAAGAAAGCGAGGGAGGCUGCCCUGGUCGAGGCUCGAGAGGCCUCAAGGAGGGCGGAGGAGGAGACAACGAUGCUGCGGGAGCGGGCUCUUACGGUCGAGGAGGCCGCGUCCAAAGCCCGGGAGGAGGCCCUGUCCUACAAGAGCGUUAUUGCGGACCUGGACAAGGAGAAGGGCCUUCUCAAGACCGACCUGGACUCCCUCCGCGACUUCUUUCAAAGGAUGAAGGUGGCGUAUGUGGAUAGUGAGGUCGCCAGGGGUGCCGCCGAGGACGUAAAGAAGAAGGCCCUCGAAGAUCUCGAGGCGGAGCGGGCUCGAUCCCGCAGUCUCUCUGACGACGUCGAGCGUCUGAAGGGAGAAUUGCUGGAGAAGAGUGGAGCCAUUGCUCAGGCUGGCAAGGUGAUCGAAGAUCUCCGCGUUGCCAAUACUAAGCUGGCGUGCUCCAACAGAGAGAUCGAGCGUGCCAACACCAGAUUGGUCGACGAGAACACGGCCGUGGAGGAGAGCAUCAGAGGUAUGUUUCCUUUGUCGAAUUUCUUUUUCGAGGUGUGCUUGAGUUUUUCCUAAAGCCUCCUUGUAUUGGCAUUUACAGGGCUCAAGGACGAACUCCUAGCUGCCUAGGCCGAGGCCCGUAAUGCUAAGGCCCAGCUCGAGGCGGAGGUCGCUUUGAACCGUCGCGUGCGGACGGCGAUAAGCGACCUCACGACCUCGUGGGAGGUCGAGCCUAUGGACGAGUGGAGGGAGGGAGCUCGAGGCGACGCACUGGUCGACCAGCUGUGCUACUUGGGCGCGACGCUGAGAGACCGAGUGCGGGAUGCCCUCCACAUCGGGGUGAAGCGGGCGAUGGCAGUUGUCUGCUCGGGCUUCUCCUAUGACAUGGAGGUGGUGUCCCACGGCUUCGUCACCGACAUCUCCAAGACCGACGCAGAGAACGAAGAGAGGCUCCACGCCUUGAUCGACGACGCGGAGGCUCCUGGAGAGAGGCUGGCCAAGCUUUUUGAGCCUGAGGUGCUUCCUCCUAAAGCUGGCUCAGGCGGAGGCGAGGGUGGUGAGGAUCAUACCGCGGACUGAGGCGUGCGAGCCUGCUCAGGGCGCCUGGGGCCCCUUGUAUGAUACUUUAUUAAUUCUGCUGUUAGGUGAUACAGUAUCUUUUUGUGAUUGUUAAAUGCUUAUUUGUCUUUCCGCUCGAGGUUCUUUUGUUUCUCUUUGUUCCAACGUUUGUAUCCCUUGCUCGAUCUUUCAUCAAAAACAACCUCGAUCACCUCAAGGGUGAGGAAGUGAGUAGAGUUUCCGUAGCCCGGGGGCGUGGGAGUUCUCCGGCUCGUUAUCCCUCGGCCUUUGAGGGGCUCGAGGUGCCUUAGCUACUCGAACCGUGCAAGGUUUACUAAGUAAGAAAAGAAAAUUUCUUGGCUUUUUCGACGCUUGGGGGGGGGGUCGUCCCCCUAGUAGCCCCCGAGGGGGUGUUGACUAUGAUGGGUCAUAGUCGGCACCCCCUUCUAACAUCGAGAUUAUGACUUGUAAAUCUUUUGGCGCAGAAAGAAGUUGCUCGAGAAAAAGACUUUAUUUAUUCAUUCGUUUACAAAGUCUUGGUACAAAAUGUACGUAGGAACAUAAGUUUAGAACUUCUAGGGGUAGAAUCGACGUAGCUGUUCGAUGUUCCAUGCGUUGGUGAAGACUGCCCCCUUCUCGUCCGCCAACUUGUACGUUCCCGGCUUCAGGACCUCGGCCACCACAUACGGGCCUUCUCAAGGUGGAGUCAGCUUGUGGCGUCCUUGAUUGCUUUGCCGGCGUCGUAGGACAAGGUCGCCCACGUUGAGGUCCCUCUUGCGCACGUGCUUGUCGUGGUAGAGUCGCAGUUUCUGCUGAUAUCUGGCAGAGUUGAGGAGGGCCAUGUCUCGAGCCUCCUCGAGUUGGUCGACCGCGUUUUCUUGAGUCUCCUUAUUUGAUUGCUCAUUGUAUGCCUUGAGUCGAGGUGACCCAUACUCGAGGUCUGUGGGUAGGAUAGCCUCGGAGCCGUAGACCAUGAAAAAUGGGGUGUACUUUGUGGCCCUGCUUGGUGCUGUCCUUAGACUCCAUAGGACCAAGGAAAGCUCCUCGACCCAUUUCUUGCCGAAUUUGUUCAAACGAUUGUAGAUCCUUGGCUUGAGUCCUUGCAAAAUCAUGCCGUUGGCACGCUCGACCUGGCCGUUAGUUCGAGGGUGGGCUACUGCAGACCAGUUCACACGGAUGUGAUGCUGAUCGCAGAAGUCCAAGAACUUAGUGCCGGUGAACUGAGUGCCGUUGUCAGUGAUGAUGACGUUGGGAAUCCCAAAACGAUGGAUGAUGUCGGUGAAGAAAAGGACGGCCUGCUCGGAGCGGAUGUUGGUGAUGGGUCGAGCCUCGAUCCAUUUGGAGAACUUGUCGAUGGCCACCAGCAAGUGGGUGUACCCUCCUUUCGCCUUUUGUAGAGGUCCUACUAAAUCGAGCCCCCACACCGCAAACGGCCAGGUGAUGGGGAUCAUCUGAAGAGCGUGGGCGGGUAGAUGCGUCUGCUUGGCGUAGAACUGGCACCCGUGACACGAGCGUACGAGUUCGAUGGCAUCUGCCACGGCAGUCGGCCAGUAGAAACCUUGUCAAAAAGCGUUCCCUACAAGGGUCCGUGGAGCAGCAUGAUGGCCGCAAGCCCCCGAGUGUAGGUCCUCGAGGAGUUUUCGGCCUUCUUCCACGGUGAUGCAACGCUGUAAGACCCCCGUCGGGCUUCGUCGAUAUAGUUCAUUGUCUUUGCCGUAGGUCACAUAUGACUUGGCCCGUCGAGCGAUACGACGGGCCUCUGACCGAUCUUCCGGCAGCUCGCCGCGGAUUAGGCAGUCGAGGUACGGUGUGCGCCAGUCGAAUGGUCGACUAGGCUGCCGUUCCACCUCCAUCACUUCAGCCGCCAUCAAGAGCGUGUCGACGGUGUUGGUUGGCUGGGCAGGAGCGGCGUCGACGCCAGCCCCCGAGCCUAAGUCGACGGAUGGCUCGUGGAGAUCUCUCGAGAACGCGUCAGGCGGCACCGUGCCUCGAGUUGAUGCGAUCUUGGCGAGUUCGUCGGCUGCCUCGUUGUAGCGUCGGGCGACAUGGACAAGCUCGAGACCAUGGAAUUUGUCCUCGAGUCGACGGAUUUCUUUGUAGUACGCCUCCAUUUUCGGGUCGUGGCAGCUCGAGGUUUUCAUUACUUGGUCGAUGACGAGUUGGGAGUCACCUCGGACGUCGAGGCGUCGGACUCCUAACUCGAUGGCAAUCUUGAGACCAUUGACGAGGGCCUCGUAUUCUGCGACAUUGUUAGACGCGGCAAAAUGAGUCCUGAUUACAUACCUCAUGUGGACGCCCAAGGGUGAGAUGAACAGCAGGCCGGCCCCGGCCCCUGUUUUCAUGAGUGACCCAUCAAAAUACAUCGUCCACAGCUCCGCCUGGACCUGAGUCGGGGGAAGCUGGGAGUUUGUCCAUUCCGCGACGAAGUCUACCAGGGCCUGCGAUUUGAUGGCCUUGCGAGGCGCGUAAGUGAGAGUCUCACUCAUGAGCUCGACCGACCAUUUUGCUAUUCUUCCCGUGUGAAAGCCCUAGUUUGGUUUUGGAUAAUUGAUGAAACCCUAGUACUAACCUCUGUGCUAAGUGUGUGUAGACUUAAUGAGGUUGGUACAUGCCAAGUGAAGGAGCAAGUGGUGAUGAUGGUGAUGAUGGUGAUGACCACAAGGUGAUCAAGUGCUCAACUUGGAAAAGAAGAAAGAGAAAAACAAAACCCUAUGGAGAUCAAGGCAAAGGUAUUGCUUAGGGUUUUGGUUUUGGUGAUCAAGACACCAUAGAGGGUGUGAUCACAUUUAGGAUAGAUAGCCGUACUAUAAAGAGGGGAAUUCUUUGGCUAAGCGGUUAUCAAGUGCCACUAGGUGUCAUUGUUCAUGUGCAUGCAUUUAGAACCUAGUGAGCUAACUUAACUCCUUCGAAGAAAAUGAUUGUGAAAAUGCUAACACACGUGCACAUGUUGGUUCACACGUUGUGAUGUCGGUGCCUUUCGAGAAAAUGAAGUGCAUAUUUUCUAUUGCGCCGGUGGGAUUUUUGGAGAAGUCGCGAGAGUGUUUCUCGCUGAGAAAACACUCACCGGACGCUGGCUUCUGGAGCACCGGACGCUGAGUCUGAGCGUCCGGUGCACACACUGCCUGGCCCAGCUAGGGUAAGGCACCGGACGAUAGGCACCGGACGCUGGCCUGUGCGUCCGGUGGUCCGUGUCCGGUGUGAGGUCUGUUUUGCAGACCUCUCUGGGUGUGAGUCCGGUGAGCACCGGACGCUCAGGGUGUGUCCGGUGGCUUGCGUCCGGUGACCCUGCGAGUUUGCGGAGCUCUCUGCGCAUGAGUCCGGUGUGCACCGGACGCGUCCGGUGCCAACCUGCUCAGCGUCCGGUGCUCUGCAGGUUACCGUUAGACUCUGACACGCGGCUGACGUUGGAGCACCGGACGCUGGUGUUGAGCGUCUGAUGCCCCUUUAAGAGCGUCCAGUGAUCCCGUAUUUCGCCUAGUGAAAGAGCCAACGGCUCUAUUUGUUUGAGGGGCUAUAAAUACAUGUUUGGCCAACUUGGGGCUCACUCUCUUGGUAUUCUAACAUACUUGACAUCCUUGUGAGCCUAAGCAAACACCUCCCACUCAUCUCCUUCAUAGAUUAUACAUCUUUGUGAGAUUGGGAGUGAUUCCAAGUGCAUUUGCUUGAGUGAUUGCAUCUAGUGGCACUUGGGGAUCGUUCUAGCUGCGGUUUUCUUGUUACUCUUGGUGGUUGCCGCCACCUAGACGGCUUGGAGCAGCGGAGGAGGAUUGGCACGAGUUGGUGAUUGUUCGUGGCCAUCUCCCGGUGAUUGUGAGAGGUUUGUGCCUACCUCGGCGGAGAGCCAAAGGCAACAUUAGUAGAUUGCUCGUGUCAUUGAGCUACCUCACUUGUGGGUAGGUUCUUGUGGUGUCCUAGUGAGGACGAGGUUCGUGCUACACCUCUUAGCCACCGAACCACCAAGUGUUGGUCGACACAACGGGGACGUAGCGUGUCGGCAAGCACGUGAACCUCGGGAGAAAAAUUGGUGUCUCAAUUGUGUUUGAUUGGCAUUCUCUCGGUGCUUGAUUGUUUAUAUUGGUGAUUGGUUCAUCCCCUACACGGCGGUAUAAAUAUCUCAUCCUAUCUUUACUUACCGCAAACUAGAGUAAUUAGUUUAGUUGCUUACUUUGCCUUGUGUAGCUUAGUUCUCUAGUGUAACUUGUAGACACUUAGUUCUUGUGUGCAUAGUGAUCAUAGCAACUAGAAUUGUUGGGUAGGUGGCUUGCAAACACCCCACUAGAGCUAGAGCAAAAAGCUUCGCUUUGUUAUUUACUAACCACUUGCUCUAGUGAGUUUUGUAGAAUUUUUAAAUAGGCUAUUCACCCCCCCUCUAGCCAUAUUAGGACCUUUCAAGUGGUAUCAGAGCCGUGGUCACCGUUUGUGAAGGCUUAACAACCUCGGUGCUCAAAUUAUGGCUCAAAUAGUGUUCAACCAUGUUGGGGGCAAACCACCGUUCUUUGAUGGCACAAGCUCUUUUGACUAUUGGAAGAGAAAAAUGAAGAUGUACCUUGGAUCAAUCAAUGAUAGAGUGUGGGAAGUCACCGAAAAUGACUUUGUGAUUCUUGAUCCGGCUAACCCCACCGACAAUGAGAGAGCAAACAAGCAAUGCAAUACUAUGGCUCUCAACACAAUUUACAAUGGCAUUGAUUCAAAAGUGUUUGAACAAGUCAAAGAUCUUGAGAAGGCAAGUGAAGUAUGGACAAGACUAGAAGAAACAUAUGAAGGCACUACAACGGUAAAAAGUGCCAAGUUGUAUAUGCUCAAGGACAAGCUUUCAAACUUCAAGAUGAAGGAUGAUGAGUCCAUACCGGAGAUGUUCUAUAGGCUCCAAGUCAUCAUAAAUGAUCUCAAGGGCCUUGGUGAGAAAGUGAAGGAUGAGGACUUCAUUCACAGGUUCUUGAUGUGCUUGCCCAAGAGGUUCAAGACAUUGAGAACAAUCAUCUUUAGAGGUGGAUUGACCGGUGUAUCUCCCAAUGAGGUACUUGGAGAUGUCAUGACCGAAGAUCAAUACAAUGACAAUGAUGAUGAUGAGGUCAUGAAGAAGGAUGAUGAUGACAAGAAGGAAAAGAGUGUAGCAUUCAAAGCUAGCUCUUCAUCCAAGAGCAAGAACAAGGGCAAGGCCAAGAAGGAAGAAUCAAGUGAUGAGGAGUGCUCUAAUGAUGAUAGGGAUGAUGAAGCACUAGCACUCUUUGUCCGCAAAUUUGGCAAGAUGAUGAAGAAGAAGGGCUAUCACACAAGAAAGAGAAGAGAUCACUUCAAGAACAAGGAGCAUGUGAGGCUAUGCUACAAGUGUAAAAGCCCCGAUCAUAUUGUGGCGGAUUGUCCUUACAAUAGUGACAAUGAUGAGCAUGACAAGAAGAACAAGAAGGAGAAGAAAGAAAAAAAAAGAGAAGAAGAUGGUCUUCAAGAAGAAGAAGAAGGGUGGAUCCUAUGUUGUGACAUGGGAUAGUGAUGCUUCUUCGGAUGAUGAUUCUAGUGAUGAUGACAAAGCAUCCAAGAAGAAGGCACUUGCUAGCAUUGCUAUCAACAACAAGCCAUCACUCUUCGACACUCCUUCAUGCUUCAUGGCCAAGGGCCACAAGGUACAAUAUGAUGAGAGUGAAAGUGAAAGUGAACAUGAACAUGAUAGUGAUAGUGAUGAUGAAAAUGAAUUCACUAAUGAACAACUCAUGGACAUGUUAGAACAAGCUGAUUCUCUCAUUCAAUCUAAAAACAAGAAGUGCAAAGAAUUGGCCAAGAAGUUAAAAGCUCUUGAGCAAUCCUUUGAUGAGCUCAAUGCUAAUCAUGAGAGGCUAGUGGAAGCCCAUGAGAAGCUUGGCAAGGCUCACACCAAGCUUGAGAAAGCUCACUCCUUGUUGUUAGAAGAGAACAAGGAAAAGGUUGUUGUAUCAUGUGAUGUGGGCACAACAUGUGACUUAAUUAAAGAAUCACCCAACCCACCUAUUGUUGUUGCCACUAACUCUUCUUGUAGGUCUUCAUCCACCACCACCAACUCUACCUCCACUUCUAGUGUUAGUGUCACUUGUGAUGCUUCACUAAAGGUUGAGAAUGAGACUCUCAAGAGAGAGUUGGAUGAGCUCACUCACGCCCUAGGCAAGGCCUAUGGUGGUGAGGCCCGCUUGCUAAAGUGCUUGGGUAGCCAAAGGUUUUCUCUCAACAAAGAGGGAUUAGGCUAUACCCCCAAGAAAGGCAAGGCGGCCUUUGCAACUCACAAGCCUGGCUUUGUGAAGAGCAAUGGUCGGUUUUGCAACAAAUGCAAGCAAGUUGGGCACCUAGAGCUUAAUUGCAACAAAAUUAACAAGAAUAAGAAAAAUGCUAAUGUGUCUUACAUUCCUUUUGAUUCUUGUUAUGUGCUUACCAAGGGUGAGAAGGGUGUGCAUGCUAAGUUUGUUGGUACACCAAUUGUGGGUCCAAAGAAGAAGGCCAUUUGGGUACCAAAAAGCUUAGUCACUAACCUCCAAGGACCCAAACAAGUAUGGGUACCUAAGAAACAUUGAUUUGUUUUGUAGGUAAACUAUAAAGCCGGAGGAAGGCAUUGGGUGCUUGAUAGUGGGUGCACACAACACAUGACCGGUGAUUCAAGAAUGUUCAAUUCAAUCAAUUCAAAUGAUGACAAUGGUGUUGAUAGUAUCACAUUUGGUGACAAUGGCAAAGGCAAGGUCAAAGGGCUCGGUAAAAUUGCUAUAUCCAAUGACUUGAGCAUUUCCAAUGUGCUACUAGUAGAGAGCUUGAACUUCAACUUACUAUCCAUGGCUCAACUUUGUGAUCUUGGUUUCAAAUGCAUAUUUGGAGUUGAUGAUGUAGAGAUCAUAAGUGUAGAUGGCUCAAACUUGAUAUUCAAAGGCUUUAGAUAUGAGAAUCUAUACUUGGUUGAUUUCAAUGCUAGAGAAGCUCAAUUGUCAACAUGCUUGCUCACUAAAUCUAGCAUGGGUUGGUUAUGGCAUAGAAGACUUGGUCAUAUUGGAAUGAAACAAUUAAACAAGUUAGUCAAGCAUGAUCUUGUUAGAGGCUUGAAAGAUGUCACUUUUGAGAAAGAUAAGCUUUGUAGUGCAUGUCAAGCCGGAAAACAAGUUGGCAACACUCAUCCAAAGAAGAGCAUCAUGAGUACAUGCAAGGCAUUUGAGUUGUUGCACAAGGACUUAUUUGGACCAACCACAUACACAAGCAUUGGUGGAAAUAAAUAUGGAUUUGUGAUAGUGGAUGAUUUCACAAGAUACACAUGGGUAUUCUUUCUUAGUGACAAGAGUGAUGCUUUUGCAACUUUCAAAUCAUUUGUCAAGAGAAUCAACAAUGAGUUUGAAACAACCAUCAAGAAAGUGAGAAGUGACAAUGGAAGUGAAUUCAAGAAUACAAGAGUUGAUGAACUUUGUGAUGAAUUUGGCAUUAGGCAUCAAUUCUCGGCCAAGUAUACUCCACAAUCAAAUGGUCUUGUUGAGAGGAAGAAUAGAACCUUGAUUGACAUGGCAAGAUCAAUGUUGAGUGAGUACAAUGUGAGUCAUUCUUUUUGGGCUGAAGCAAUCAAUAUGGCUUGCUACUAUAGAAACCGACUCUAUUGUCACCCAAUGAUGGAGAAGACACCAUAUGAGCUCUUGAAUGGACGAAAGCCCAACAUUGCAUACUUUCGGGUUUUUGGUUGCAAAUGCUACAUAUUGAAGAAAGGCACUAGAUUGAGUAAAUUUGAAAAGAAAUGUGAUGAAGGUUUCUUGCUUGGUUACUCUACUACUAGCAAAGCUUAUAGAGUUUGGAAUUUGGCUAGUGGUACUCUUGAGGAGGUGCAUGAUGUUGAGUUUGAUGAAACAAAUGGCUCUCAAGAGGAAGAUGAGAAUCUAGAUGAUGUGAGAGGCACUCAAUUGGCCGAUGCAAUGAAGAACAUGGAUAUUGGUGAUUUAAGGCCUAGAGAGGUGAUUGAUGUUGAAGAUGACAAAGAUCAAGUGCUUCCUACCUCCAAUGUGCAAGCUAGUGGUUCUCAUGAUCAAAAUCAAGCUAGUACAAGUGGUACUCAAGUACAAGAUCAACAAGCUAGUACAUCAUCUCAUGAUCAACCAAGUGCAAGCAAUCAAGUACAAAUACUCCAACCAACAAGUAUUGCAAGAGAUCAUCCAUUGGAUCAUAUCAUAGGUGACAUUCAAAGAGGAGUGCAAACUAGAUCAAGAUUAGCAUCAUUUUGUGAGCAUUUCUCCUUUGUGUCUCACAUUGAGCCAAAGAAGAUUGAUGAAGCAUUGAGAGAUGUUGAUUGGGGUAAUGCUAUGCAUGAAGAGCUUAACAACUUCAAGAGAAAUCAAGUAUGGGAAUUAGUUGAGAGGCCUAGUGAUCAUAAUGUCAUUGGUACUAGAUGGGUCUUUCGCAACAAGCAAGAUCAAGAUGGGAUAGUUGUAAGGAACAAAGCAAGAUUGGUAGCGCAAGGCUAUACUCAAGUUGAAGGUCUUGACUUUGGUGAAACAUAUGCUCCGGUUGCAAGAUUGGAAGCAAUUAGGAUCUUGUUAGCCUAUGCUUGUGCUCAUAACAUCAAGCUAUACCAAAUGGAUGUGAAAAGUGCAUUUCUCAAUGGCUAUAUCAAUGAAGAAGUAUAUGUUGAGCAACCUCCCGGUUUUGAAGAUGACAAGAAACCCAACCAUGUUUACAAGCUAAGAAAGGCAUUGUAUGGUUUGAAGCAAGCACCAAGAGCAUGGUAUGAGAGAUUGAGAGAUUUCUUACUCUCUAAAGGUUUUAAGAUGGGCAAGGUUGACACCACUCUCUUUACCAAGAAGAUUGGCAAGGACUUGUUUGUGUUGCAAAUCUAUGUUGAUGAUAUCAUAUUUGGAUCAACCAACCAAGAAUUUUGUGAAGAGUUUGGCAACAUGAUGGCUAAUGAGUUUGAGAUGUCAAUGAUUGGAGAGCUUAGUUAUUUCCUUGGUCUUCAAAUCAAGCAAUUAAAGAAUGGUACAUUUGUGAGUCAAGGCAAGUACAUAAAAGACAUGCUCAAGAAGUUUGGUAUGGAUGAUGCAAAAUCAAUUAGCACUCCAAUGGGAACAAAUGGAAGCCUAGAUAGUGAUACAAGUGGAAAUAUGGUGGAUCAAAAGUUGUAUCGGUCUAUGAUUGGAAGCCUACUCUAUGUGACCGCAUCAAGACCGGAUGUCAUGUUUAGUGUAUGCAUGUGUGCAAGAUUCCAAGCCUCACCAAGAGAAAGUCAUUUGAAAGCAACAAAGAGAAUAUUGAGGUACUUGAAGCAUACACAAAAUGUUGGUUUGUGGUAUCCCAAAGGUGCAAAGUUUGAGCUUAUUGGAUAUUCCGAUUCGGACUAUGCGGGAUGCAAAGUUGAGAGAAGAAGCACAUCGGGCACAUGUCAACUAUUGGGUAGAUCACUUGUCUCAUGGUCAUCCAAGAAACAAAAUAGUGUUGCACUAUCAACCGCCGAAGCGGAGUACAUUGAGGCUGGUAGUUGUUGUGCACAAAUCCUAUGGAUGAAGGCAACAUUAAAGGACUUUGGAAUCAAUUUCAAAGAAGUGCCAUUGCUAUGUGACAAUGAAAGUGCCGUGAAGCUCACCAACAAUCCGGUUCAACACUCAAGAACAAAGCAUAUAGAUGUCCGCCAUCAUUUCAUAAGAGAUCACCAACAAAAAGGGGACAUUUGCAUUGAGAGUAUAGGCACCGAUGAUCAACUUGCCGAUAUAUUCACCAAGCCACUUGAUGAGAAGAGGUUUUGCAAGCUAAGGAAUGAAUUGAACAUACUUGACUUCUCAAAUAUGUGUUGAUGCACCCCAUUAUAUGACAUGCCUCUCCUUCGAGCAAAGCAAGGUAAAAUUGAUUGACAUAUCAUCCAUCCUAUGCUAAGGACUUGUGUAGUGCAUCUAGUCAUUCCUUACAUGUCUUAGGAUCAUUCAUGAAAAUCAAAUGAAUUUGAUGCUUGUAUGGUACCACUAUUGCUUUUAUGCUUGACUUGAUCUAGUGGUAGCAUAUGACAUGUUUGUGGGCUUGCAAUCCUAGUGUUUGAUCUAGAAUAUGAGCUAUAAGUGUUUAACUCAACAUGGUACAAGAUAACCCUUAUUUGGAGGUGUGAAGAAGCUUGUCCUUGGAUCAAACCGAGUUAAAUAUCUUAGGCAAGUAAUCUAGAUUGGACCAAUUUGGUAAAAUGAUCUCACUUCACAUGGUUUCACACUAACCUAUCUAAAAUUUGAGCUCACCUUUUGUGGUCUUUGAUGACAAAGGGGGAGAGAAUUUCCCAAAGAUUUAAGAUAGGGGAGUAACAUGAUAAAAGAAGGGGAUCAAUUAAAAUUUUGAAGCACACAAGUAGGGGGAGCAAGCUCAUAAAACUUGUUUGUUGCAUAUUGAAUGUGCAUCACAUAUGUUUGCUUGCAUUUGCAUUAGUUUUAGAAGUUUUCUCUCCAAUGCCUUGCUUGUGUGGUGUAUGCUAGUUGUAGGCUUGAUUGAUGAAGUGAAGAACUAGCAUGCAUAGAUAGUGUAACUAGACUUUUAGUUAUUUCACAAGUGGUACUAGAACCUUGUUUAUAAUGUUGAUCUCACGGGGUGUUCUAGUUUUUGUGAAUGUCUAGUUACUAAUGGUGCUAAGGAUGGUAUACAUUGGCAACUCCGAUUGGUAUCACGCCUCAAAGGUCCAUUCUUUACACCUUAGCAUCAUUUGGUAGAAAUUGACUCCUAUAUUUCCUAUUCAAGCAUAUGUGCAAGCUUUCAAAUCCAAACUCUUAGCACAUAUGUAGGCGGAGCAAUUGCUACCAUUUUGGGUUUAUGAAACUUGUCCAUAACCUUUGCACAUGGUAAAAUGCUUGGACAAGCAACAUGAAUCCAAGAAAAUUUUAUUGAAAAUCUUUGUAAAAAGGGUUGUCAUCAAUUACCAAAAAGGGGGAGAUUGAAAGCCCUAGUUUGGUUUUGGAUAAUUGAUGAAACCCUAGUACUAACCUCUAUGCUAAGUGUGUGUAGACUUAAUGAGGUUGGUACAUGCCAAGUGAAGGAGCAAGUGGUGAUGAUGGUGAUGAUGGUGAUGACCACAAGGUGAUCAAGUGCUCAACUUGGAAAAGAAGAAAGAGAAAAACAAAACCCUAUGGAGAUCAAGGCAAAGGUAUUGCUUAGGGUUUUGGUUUUGGUGAUCAAGACACCAUAGAGGGUGUGAUCACAUUUAGGAUAGAUAGUCGUACUAUAAAGAGGGGAAUUCUUUGGCUAAGCGGUUAUCAAGUGCCACUAGGUGUCAUUGUUCAUGUGCAUGCAUUUAGAACCUAGUGAGCUAACUUAACUCCUUCGAAGAAAAUGAUUGUGAAAAUGCUAACACACGUGCACAUGUUGGUUCACACGUUGUGAUGUCGGCGCUUUUCGAGAAAAUGAAGUGCAUAUUUUCUAUUGCGCCGGUGGGAUUUUUGGAGAAGUCGCGAGAGUGUUUCUCGUAGAGAAAACACUCACCGGACGCUGGCUUCUGGAGCACCGGACGCUGAGUCUGAGCGUCCGGUGCACACACUGCCUGGCCCAGCUAGGGUAAGGCACCGGACGAUAGGCACCGGACGCUGGCCUGUGCGUCCGGUGGUCCGUGUCCGGUGUGAGGUCUGUUUUGCAGACCUCUCUGGGUGUGAGUCCGGUGGGCACCGGACGCUCAGGGUGCGUCCGGUGGCUUGCGUCCGGUGACCCUGCGAGUUUGCGGAGCUCUCUGCGCAUGAGUCCGGUGUGCACCAGACGCGUCCGGUGCCAACCUGCUCAGCGUCCGGUGCUCUGCAGGUUACCGUUAGACUCUGACACGCGGCUGACGUUGGAGCACCGGACGCUGGUGUUGAGCGUCUGAUGCCCCUUUAAGAGCGUCCGGUGACCCCGUAUUUCGCCCAGUGAAAGAGCCAACGACUCUAUUUGUUUGAGGGGCUAUAAAUACGUGUUUGGCCAGCUUGGGGCUCACUCUCUUGGUAUUCUAACAUACUUGACAUCCUUGUGAGCCUAAGCAAACACCUCCCACUCAUCUCCUUCAUAGAUUAUACAUCUUUGUGAGAUUGGGAGUGAUUCCAAGUGCAUUUGCUUGAGUGAUUGCAUCUAGUGGCACUUGGGGAUCGUUCUAGCUGCGGUUUUCUUGUUACUCUUGGUGGUUGCCGCCACCUAGACGGCUUGGAGCAGCGGAGGAGGAUUGGCACGAGUUGGUGAUUGUUCGUGGCCAUCUCCCGGUGAUUGUGAGAGGUUUGUGCCUACCUCGGCAGAGAGCCAAAGGCAACAUUAGUAGAUUGCUCGUGUCAUUGAGCUACCUCACUUGUGGGUAGGUUCUUGUGGUGUCCUAGUGAGGACGAGGUUCGUGCUACACCUCUUAGCCACCGAACCACCAAGUGUUGGUCGACACAACGGGGACGUAGCGUGCCGGCAAGCACAUGAACCUCGGGAGAAAAAUUGGUGUCUCAAUUGUGUUUGAUUGGCAUUCUCCCGGUGCUUGAUUGUUUAUAUUGGUGAUUGGUUCAUCCCCUACCCGGCGGUAUAAAUAUCUCAUCCUAUCUUUACUUACCGCAAACUAGAGUAAUUAGUUUAGUUGCUUACUUUGCCUUGUGUAGCUUAGUUCUCUAGUGUAACUUGUAGAGACUUAGUUCUUGUGUGCAUAGUGAUCAUAGCAACUAGAAUUGUUGGGUAGGUGGCUUGCAAACACCCCACUAGAGCUAGAGCAAAAAGCUUCGCUUUGUUAUUUACUAACCACUUGCUCUAGUGAGUUUUGUAGAAUUUUUAAAUAGGCUAUUCACCCCCCCCUCUAGCCAUAUUAGGACCUUUCAAGUUGGCCUCUUUGCUCUGGAUUAUUUUGCCUAAGGGGAAAGACGAGACCACCGUGAUGGGGUGGCCAAGAAAGUAGUGUUGCAGCUUUCGGCGGGCAAGGAUUACGGCAUAGAUCAGCUUCUGGAUUUGGGGAUAACGUGCCUUAGUCUCCGAAAGCACCUCGCUGACGAAAUAGACUGGCCUCUGGACUGGUAGCGCAUGUCCCUCCUCCUGCCUUUCGACCACACCGCUGCGUUGACGACCUGGGUCGUCGACGCAACGUAGAGGAGCAGCGGCUCUGCAGGUUGAGGUGGGACCAUGACUGGUGCUGAGGUCAGCGUCUUCUUCAGCUUUUCGAGCGCUUCCUCGGCCUCGGGGGUCCAAGAAAAAUGCUCGACCUUCUUCAGAAGUCGAUACAAUGGUAACGCCUUUUCUCCUAGUCUCGAGAUGAAACGGCUUAGAGCCGCCAGGCAUCCCGUGACUCUCUGCACACCCUUGAUGUCCCGGAUCGGCCCCAUUCUCGUGAUGGCCGAGACUUUCUCGGGGUUGGCCUCGAUGCCGCGCUGCGAAACAAUGUAGCCCAAGAGCAUGCCUCGAGGCACGCCGAAAACGCACUUCUCGGGAUUGAGCUUGAUCUGGUUGGCGCGUAAACAGCUAAAAGCGAUCUCGAGGUCCUGGAUCAGGUUCCCUCGCCGCUUUGACUUGACGACAAUGUCGUCGACAUAGGCCUCGACUGUCGACCCUAUGUGUUCACCAAAAACGUGGAGCAUGCAACGUUGGUAUGUAGCUCCCGCGUUUCGAAGCCCAAACGGCAUGGUCACAUAGCAAUACAUCCCAAAAGGCGUGAUGAAAGAGGUCGCGAGCUGGUCGGACUCCUUCAUUUUUAUUUGGUGGUAACCAGAAUAUGCAUCAAGGAAAGAAAGGGUUUCACAUCCCGCGGUAGAAUCGACAAUCUGAUCAAUACGUGGCAAUGGAAAAGGAACUUUUGGACAUGCUUUAUUUAGACUAGUAUAAUCGACACACAUCCUCAUUUUCCCAUUCUUUUUCUUAACUAAUACAGGGUUUGCUAACCAGUCAGGAUGAUGAACCUCCUUGAUGAAUCCAGCCGUCAAAAGCUUGUGGACUUCCUCGCCAAUGAUCUUGCGCUUCUCCUCGUCGAAUCGGCGCAACCGCUGCUUCACUGGCUUGGAACCGGCUCAAAUCUCCAAGGAGUGCUCGGCGACUUCCCUCGGUAUGCCUGGCAUGUCCGAGGGACUCCAUGCAAACAUGUCGGUGUUUGCACGGAGAAAAUCGACGAGCACAGCUUCCUAUUUGGGGUCGAGAUCGGCGUUGAUCGUCAGCACCUUGCCGUCGGAGUUGUUGGGGUCGAGUGGGAUCUUCUUGGUUCCUUCUGCCGCCUCGAAGCUGCCCGCGUGGCGCUUGGGCUCUGGAGCCUCAGCGGCCAAGGCCUCGAGCUUCGCGACAAGCUCGGUGGAGUUUUCGACCGCCUCCCCAUACUCGACGCACUCGACGUCGCACUCGUACGCGUGCUCGAAGGAGGAGCUGAUGGUGAUGACGCCUUUGGGACCGGGCAUCUUCAGCUUCAAGUAGGUGUAGUUGGGUAUAGCCAUGAACUUGGCGUAGCCCGGGCGUCCGAUGAUGGCGUGGUACGUGCCUCGGAAUCCAACCACUUCAAAGGUGAGGGUCUCCUUCCUGAAGUUGGCCGCUGUGCCAAAGCAGACCGGUAAGUCGAUUCAACCUACUCGCAGCGCCUUUUUCCCUGGCACGACGCCAUGAAAACCGCUGGCGCUUGGUUGGAGCUUCCCUCUAUCUAUGCCGAGGAGGUCGAGGGUCUCGAGGUAGAUGAUGUUGAGGCUGCUACCACCAUCCAUCAGCACUUUUGAGAGCCGUGUGUUGACGAUGAUCGGGUCGACGACGAGCGGGUAGACACCUGGGGCGACUACCUUGUCGGGGUGGUCCUCUUGAUCGAAAGUGAUGGGAGUGCUUGACCAGCUGAGGUACUGGGGUAUCGCCAUUCUUGCCGCGAAGACCUCGCGACGCUCCCUUUUGCGCUGCCUCGUGGUUAACUGAGUCGAGGGCCCGUCGUAGAUCAUGUAGCAGUCGUGGACGGCGGGGAAGCCGUCGUCAUCUUUGUUGUCCUCCUUGUUGCCGCCCUUCUCUUUCUUGGAGUCGUCACGCGCAUCUUUCUUGAACCCUAGACCGUCGAAAUGCUUUUUCAGCAUACGACAGUCCUUGAGCUUGUGGUUGGCGCCUCCCUUAUGGUAAGGGCAUGGCUCUUCUAGCAUCUUGUCGAAGACGCCUCCCUCCGGAGGGCCUCGAGGCUUCUUUCGUUCCAUGGCGGCGACAAGGUUGUCGUCGGAAUCCUCCCGCUGGAACUGCCGUGCUUUCUGCUUCUUUUUAUUCUUCUUGAGGCCCCGACUCGGGGUUCCAUCUUCAUCGGCAGGCCGCUUGCCUUUCCCCCCUUCACAGCUGAAGAAAGCGCCAACUGCCUCCUCCCCUGCCGCGUAGUUUGCCACUACGUCCAUCAGCUCAUCGACGGUCUGAGGGCAAUUUCGGCCCAGUUCCCGCACUAAGUCUCGACUGGUGGUACCAGAGACGAAAGCCAGGAUGACGUCAUGAUCGGGGAUGUGCGGCAGCUCAGUGCGCUACUUUGAGAAGCGUCGAGCAUACUCUCGAAGAGUUUCUCCUGACUUCUGUUUGCACUUGCUGAGGUCCCACGAGUUCCCGGGCCGUAUGUAGGUCCCUUUGAAAUUACCCUCGAAAACCCUGACCAGAUCAACCCAGUUGUGGAUCUGAUCAGCGGGAAGUUCCUCGAGCCAUCGACGGGCGGUGUCGGAGAGGAAGAGCGGUAGCUGCCUGAUGAUGGCUCGAUCGUCCCCUCGAGCUCCCCCCAACUGAUAGGCCAACCUAAAAUCAGCUAACCACAAUUCUGGUUUGGUUUCGCCGUUGUAUUUCGCGAUGCUGGUCGGGGGUCGGAACGGACAGGGCAGGGGCGUGCUGCGGAUCGCCCUACUGAAUACUCGUGGGCCCGAUGGCUCGGGGGCCACCCGAUCUUCGUCGCUGUCGUACCUCCCACCGCGAUGUGCGCUGUAACCGCGUUAUUCCGCGUCUCCGUGCCGGCGGCGUCGAUUCUCUUCGAUGUCAUGCCGCGCGUCGUGUCGACGCUGAUUGUCGACGGGGAGAACGAGAGUGGUCUUUCUGCCUCGAGGUGGAGGCUGUUGAUGGACUGACACCUCCUUUUCAUUUUGAGGCUGCUCGUCGCGCUUUUCAGUGGCAGCUCCUCGUCGUCGAGAAGCUGAGCUUUCGGCUUGUUGAACUGCCGCCACCUGGAGCAGGGUCUGUACCUCGUCUCGAAUGCGUCGAGCCUGGGAGUUCGACGGCUCUGGCAUGUUGCGCAGCAGCAUUAUCGCCGCCACUACGUUUUGGCCUGCUCGAGGGAAGCGGCUGACGGGUUGCUCCGGUUCUGCGUCUCCGACGAUUUGUCGAUGGACCUCUCGAGCGCGUCUGCGGACACUUCCGCCCGGCGGAUAGGGCAGGUCUUGCUCGAGGAUUUGCUCGAGCAAAACGAGGCGCUCGCGGUCUUCGUCGAGCUUCAUCUUGAGCUCCCGCAGCUGCGCUAGCUGUGCAGCCUUGUCUUCUUGCGGAGGGGGGUCGACCUGUCCGUCGGUUCCAGGCGUCCUGGGGUCUUCUCGUGCCGCGGGGGCUCGACCGCCCGCAGCAGCAUCCCGUGUCUCGUCGGUAGUUUCUACCGCCCCGUCGAUGUGAUAGCAUUCCCUUGUAUGGUCGUAGCUAUCAGUCUCGGAGUCGGAGUCUGGUUCGGCGGCGUAGAAACACCCACGUCCCUCCUCCAGCAAUCGCUGCCUGAGGGAGGUGAUCGUGUAUCGUCCAGGGCCUAGACGACGGAGGCCUCGUACCCGGGAAAGAUCAGGCAGCUCGGACGCCGGCCGCUGCGCUUCAGUGUCAUGUGGGAGGACCAUUGGUCUUUCCACGUACGUCUGGGCGUUUGGGCAUAUCGCCCUGGCGAGCGACGCCGCGGCGUUGUCCAAUCCGAAUGGCAGUGCCCUUCUUGGAGUGAACAACCCGUGUGGAAGUAGCCUAGCAGCGGUGGGGGAGAGCGCGUGGGAUGCGUCCCCUCUCGUUGUUGUGCGGUGUUGAGCCGUCGCGCUCGUUGCUUCGACACAUGGUGCUGCCGACUUCUGGCCCACUUCCUGCUUCGCACGAGUUGUUGGUCGUGAUGAAGCAGAGGGGCCGCGGUGGUGCUGUCCGCGCCUCUUCUUAGGCGGGGAGGCGUGGUGGUGAGGGCGUCUCGGGGCCCUCAACCGUGCUGGCACAACGCGGGCUCCUCCUGGUCCUCUGACUGAGAGCAAGAUCAUGUCGUAGCCGGAGCCCGUAGACAUGAACUCGAGACUCCCAAACCAAAUCACCGUGGAGCGCGGAAUCGGCGAGGCGAGAGUAGCCAUCUGGAAAGGAGUGGGAAAUCGAUGAAAAACAUGCAGGACCCCUACCUGGCGCGCCAACUGUCGGUGUUUUCCCCACGAGGGGUCACACCAACGAGUAAAUUUGUAUGUGUGCUCCCUUUCCUAGAUGGUGAUGCAAGAAGACACAGAGAUUUAUCCUGGUUCGGGCAAGAGAAGGCCCUACGUCCAGCGGGGGGAGAGAGUUUGUAUUAUCUUGCACCUAAGUGCUUGUACAGGGAUGAAUACAAGCGUGGUAUGGAGUGUGGAGUUCUACUGCGUAUGAGCGUGGUGUUGUCUCUUGUGUUCUAUUCCUGAGUCCCUCCUUUUAUAGUUCCAAGGAGAGACCCAGGGUACAUGUAUAGGCGUCAGAAUAAGAGUCAAUAGCAGUAUGGAGUGCUGACCUACUCGAGGCUUCCGUACCGACAUGGCCUCGAGCCGUCCCGUCUUAAUAGCCUGGUGAUGAUUACACGUGCCCCUGCAUUCUGCUCUGCGCGCCGUCUUGUAUUGGUUCAACGGUCGCAUGCUCGUACGGUUUGGCGGCAAAUCCGGCGGAGUGGUUGUGGCGUGGCCAGUCGACGUCCGACCCGUCCCCAGGAAGGAACCAUGUUAAGUCGAGGGUCGGACGCCGUACGACGUCCUGAUGUCGGAGCGCUGACCUUGGCUACCUCGAGGGGGUCUUGAUUAGAUGUGCCAUCUCUGUUUCCCACGUCCUGACACGCCCUGGGCCGUUUGGUGGGGAAGGCUGCAAAAAGAUCGAUGGGACGGAUGCCUGUUCCCUAUCACGCCUCCCGUGACCCGUGUGUUAGGUGGGGAAGCAUCAGGCGCAUUUAAUGCCCCGGCUCGCGUGCGCGCGUCAGGCGGCGGGCGGCGUCCUUGCGCUCAACGCCUCCCGGUUCGCGUGAGCCUGUUCCGUAUUCGACGGUAACCAGAGCUCGAUGCCUGAUUGAUUCGCUCGACGCUAUUUCCGUCUUCGAGGCUGUGGCCGUCGAUGGCUGCGCAUACGUACGGAUGGAGCGUCGAAUCGAGGGCCUCGUCCUACGUACGGAUAACCUUGUUAUAUGCAUUGGUGAGGGUACCCCUUGUUGAUACCCUCGACAAGGGCUAUAUAAGCAAGGCCCCUGGCCCCUGGAGAAAGAGAAUCCCAUUAUUCAUUAGCAUAUUUUCCAGAGAGGAUUCAGAGAGAGAGGUUCCUUAGGGUUCCCACCUCAUAGGGCUUAGCAUCUAAUGUGAGAGUAGAACUAGUUCUACUAGAUUGAGAGAGAUAGAGUGGAGGUGUAGAUCAGAGGAAGCCCGGCCUGUCGGUGUCUACUCUGAGGUUGUACCUGCGGGAUCAAGUCUUCUAACCCGAGGCUUGCUCCUAGGAUUCUUCAGUAUUUCGACUUCUAAAUUCUAGUAAGUUCUUUGUUUUAUUGUUCUUUGGUUUAUGAGUUUACUUUGAUCUCUUUGCGUAGAGUUUAGAGUAAUCAUCUCUAGCGUAAAUGUGGUGUUUGGGCUAGGAUACUCAUAGAUAUCCCCUAUCUAGCUGGACCGUGGUAGUAGCGAGGAACGUGACAUUUCCGAGUUACCUUUGUAGCCCAUAUCCCGUUAGUAGGAUCGAUAGGGUUUAUAGGUGCGGGUUGAACAUCCUCUGUGGUGUCUAGAUUCCGUGAGCCUCCCCAACAGAACAGUAGAUCAUCCUUACCAAGGUUAGAACAAGAGUGCGGUUGUAGUCUUCUCUAUACAUCACUCACAUCGAAUCACAUAGUUUGUAGCCUAAAGGUUAGUAGUAAUAGACCGGGUUAGUCACAUGCACGCUUUCUCCUAGUGGUAAAAAUAUAAAUAUGAUACUCUGGAUAACAUCCCGGGUGAAAGUGCUCACCGAUAUCCGUGCGCUUGUGGAUUAAUUCCUCAUUGCGUUACCAAAUAUCAACAAGCAUUUUUGGCACCGUUGCCGGAGAGAAAGAUAGCUUGUAUUCAUACUUUUAUCUUUUCUUAUCUUUUUAUAUUCUUUAUUUUCUUUACUCUUACCUUAUGGAAAACCAAGAUUCUAAAUCGAUCUAUCAAUUUGCAACACCUUCAGAAACUGACCUUUUAUCAUGGGAGUCAUCACAGCCUAUCCAAACAUCCCAGUAUAGGUUAAGUUCCAGGUUGAUUGCCAUGCUUCAAAACCAAUCCUUUUCAGGAAAGGAAGAAGAAAACCCUUACCUUCAUAUUAGAGAUUUUGAGCAAACAUGUGAUUGUCUUCGCAUUGAAGGCAUUUCUGAUAAAACUUUACGUUGGAAGCUUUUUCCUUUUUCUUUAAGGGGAGAAGCUAGACAAUGGUAUAGUCAGAAGGUAAGUCAACAAUGAGGUGAAUGGGGAGUCUUACGAGCCAACUUUUGUCUAGACUUUUAUUCCCUCGACCGUAUCGGCGACCUUAGACUCGAAGUCCUAUCUAUUAAACAAAAAGAUAAUGAAACUUUGGGAAAAUCUUGAAAACAUUUUUCUGAUCUUUUAGAAUCUGGUCCAAACCUUAAUCUUGAAGACCCUGUUCUUUUAUUUCACUUUUUUCGAGGUCUUCAGAAAGAUCAUAAUUAAAUGCUACAUACAAUGUCUAUAGGUUCUUUCUUUCGCAUCCCUACUGAUGACGCUAGAGCAAUCCUAGAAAGAAUCCUAGAAACUGAGAUGGAUAAUACCCUCCAUGAUGAAACCCACGAAGCCGAAGUAGACACUCUGCCAAAUUCUCCAUCUACUUUAGCUAUGCCAAGUUCUGAGCCACAAAAGGAAGAAAUUCCACCUCCCGAUUUCAUGCUGGAUAUAGAAUAUGAUCUUUUUGCCGAUUUUGGAAACAUUUCAAACUACCAUUCUAUUGACAGACCCCAAAAUGGCCAUUUUAGCAUUUGUUUGCCAAGUGAACAUCAAUUGAGAGAGCUCAUCUCAGUCAUGAGUAGCGAAUGGUUGGAGGAGUCAGAUCUUUCCUCUAAUGUGAUCCGUUUGGACACACCUCCUAUAACUAUACGCUUUGCUUAUGAUUCUGAUCAAUCUGAUGCUCUCUAUAAUCCUGUUGUGGGGAUCAACAUCAUGUCUGAAUCUUUUGCACUUAAAUUGUUUAAAAAUUUGGUCUUAACCCCCACAACAAAAGUCAUAAAGGAAUCUUCAAGGCGAUUAGUCCCCAGUCUUGGAAUUAUUAAUGUCCUACCCUUUAUGGUAGAAGGCUCCAUGGUUCAUUUGAACUUCUAUAUCUUUGAUACAUGGGACUUCGACCUGUUGAUAGGACAACCUUUUAUAAGACUCCUUUAUGAAGGUCAUACUGGAAAGCUACACAUUUCUUUCGGAAAAGAUUUUAAAUUUCCAAUAACGAUUUCUCACUCCUUAAAUAAUAAGACUGAGUCAUAUCUUUUGCUCGAUCCUAUGGAGGAGGUAAAGGCUGCAUCUCUAGAGCUUUUAGAUGAACCAGACUUAAAAGAAGAAGCUCCUUUCUUCAUAGAAGAAGAGGCCGAACCUUCUGAAUUUGAACCCUUAGACGAGUUUGCAGAAACACCUAGACCUCCCAUAGUGCUUAAAACUUUACCACCCGGUUUUAUCUAUGCUUUCCUAAACAAUAAUCCAGAGUUUCCUGUGAUCAUUAGUGAUAAACUCACUCAGGAGCAAACUCUGCGAUUGAUGACCAUUCUUGAGAAACAUCACUCAGUUUUUGGCUACUCACUCCAAGAUCUUAUAGGAAUCAGUCUUAUGAUUUGUACCCAUCGUAUUUUGACAUAUCCUUCUGUUUCAUCUUCUUGAGAGCCCCAACGUAGACUUAACAAUGCGAUGAGAGAGGUAGUUAAAAAGGAAGUUAUAAAGUUGCUGCAUGCAGGGAUUAUAUAUCCUGUGUCGCACAGUGAGUGGGUGAGCCCAGUUCAAGUUGUGCCUAAAAAGGGAGGCGUGACUGUUGUCACAAAUGAGAAGAACGAGCUAAUUCGGCAACGCACCAUCACAGGGUGGCGGAUGUGCAUAGACUAUAGAAAAAUGAACAAAGCCACGAAAAAGGAUCAUUUUCCUUUACCUUUCAUAGAUGAGAUGCUAGAGCGAUUAGCAAACCAUUCGUUCUUCUGUUUCUUAGAUGGAUAUUCAGGGUAUCACCAGAUCCCGAUCCAUCCCGAUGAUCAAAGCAAAACCACUUUUACAUGCCCAUACGGAACUUAUGCAUACCGUAGAAUGUCUUUUGGGUUAUGUAAUGCACCAGCUUCUUUUCAAAGAUGCAUGAUGUCUAUAUUUUCUGAUAUGAUUGAAGAGAUUAUGGAAGUCUUCAUGGAUGAUUUCUCUGUAUAUGGAAAAACUUUCGAUAGUUGUCUUGAAAACUUAGACAAGGUUUUGCAAAGAUGUGAAGAAAAGCACUUAGUCCUUAAUUGGGAAAAAUGUCAUUUUAUGGUUAGGGAAGGAAUAGUGCUGGGACACCUAGUGUCUGAAAGAGGUAUUGAGGUAGACAAAGCUAAAAUUGAAGUAAUUGAACAACUACCUCUACCUGUGAAUAUAAAAGGAAUUCGAAGCUUUCUUGGCCAUGCUGGUUUUUAUCGCAGAUUCAUAAAAGAUUUUUCAUUAAUUGCUAGACCACUUACUCUUUUGCUAGCCAAGGAUGCUCCUUUUGAAUUUGAUGAUGCAUGCCUAACAUCUUUCAAUUUAUUAAAGAAUGCACUCAUCUCUGCACCAAUCAUUCAACCCCCUGAUUGGUCGUUGCCUUUUGAAAUUAUGUGUGAUGCUAGUGAUUAUGCUGUGGGGGCAGUUUUAGGACAAACUAAAAAUAAGAAGCAUCAUGCAAUUGCUUAUGCCAGUAAAACUUUGACAGGAGCUCAACUUAAUUAUGCAACCACUAAAAAAGAGCUUCUGGCCGUUGUCUUUGUCAUUGAUAAAUUUAGAUCUUAUUUAGUUGGAGCUAAAAUAAUUGUUUACACUGAUCAUGCUGCACUAAAAUAUCUACUCACUAAAAAAGAUGCUAAACCACGCCUGAUUAGAUGGAUCUUAUUACUUCAAGAAUUUGACUUGGAAAUAAAAGAUAAAAAGGGAGUAGAAAAUUCUGUUGCUGAUCACUUGUCUAGAAUGUAUUUUAAGAAUCCACAGGAAACCCCUAUCAAUGAUUCACUCCGGGACGACAUGCUCUAUGGGAUUAACAGGUCUGACCCCCUGGUAUGCAGAUAUUGUUAAUUUUAUGGUUUCAGGGUAUGUACCACCAGGAGCGAACAAGAAGAAGCUUAUUCAAGAAAGUCGUUCACAUAUAUGGGAUGAACCAUACCUCUUCCGAGUAUGCUCUGAUGGCUUACUCAGGAGAUGUGUGACCACCGAGGAAGGAUGGAAGAUCAUUGAUAGAUGUCAUUCAUCACCAUAUGGAGGUCAUUAUGGAGCAUUCCGUACACAUUCAAAGAUUUGGCAGUGUGGAUUCUACUGGCCUACAAUGUAUGAAGACACAAAGCAAUAUAUCAGAAGAUGCGGGCCAUGUCAAAGGCACAGAAACAUAAACACAAGGGAUGCCAUGCCACUCACCAACAACCUUCAGAUUGAGCUCUUUGAUGUCUGGGGAAUAGAUUACAUGGGUCUAUUUCCCUCAUCAAAGAAGUGUGAUUUCAUCUUGGUGGCAGUUGACUAUGUCUCCAAGUGGGUAGAGGCACUACCUUGCAAACACGCCGACAAUAUCAGUUCAAAGAGGAUGUUUGAAGAAGUUAUAUUUCCAAGAUUUGGAGUCCCCAGAGUAGUGAUAAGUGAUGGAGGAGCAAACUUCAUCGACAAACGCUUCAAGCACUAUCUAUCGAAACAUGGAAUCCGUCACAACGUCACUACUCUCUACCAUCCUCAGACAAGUGACCAAGCAGAGACUUCCAUCAAGCAAAUCAAGAAUAUUCUUCAGAAAACAGUCAAUGAGAUGGGAACGGCAUGGAAGGACAAGUUACCUGAUGCACUCUGGGCAUACUAGACAGUAUACAAGACCCCAAUUGGAAUGUCCCCAUACCAAUUGGUGUACGGGAAGACUUGCCACCUACCUGUUGAAUUAGAGUUCAAAGCACACUGGGCCAUAAGGAGAUGGAAUAUGGACCUAGAUGUCGCUGGAGAUCACAGAAGAAUGCAACUAUCAGAAUUGGAAGAAUGGCGAGUGUUGGGUAUUUUAAACGCAAACAGAAAAAUCUGCAAGCGCACGGAUACCGAUGUAGCUUUCACUCGGGAGUAUUCCAGAGUAUCGAUUUUCCACAGGGAACGUGAGUGUACUAAUUAAGAAUCAAGAUCGCCCAAGGAUAACUAUAUAAUUAUUUUUGGUGGGAAGAGAGGAAGUUUCUUGAGAGUUCUCUAGUUGAUCUAAGAAUCAAGAAUUACUUCAAAGAUUAUUUAUAUCGGGACAUCAGAGCACUAACCACAGAAAGAGAUGAGAAGGGGGCUAGGAAGGUCUGACUACGGUCCUACAAACACCGAUCCGAACGAGGUGGAAUACGUCGACCGUUAAGGCUGUCACUACCCUAGGGCUACCACAACAAUCCAUAGGAUUGGGUGCAAUUCCAAGUAAUUGCAAGACUAAACACCAUGUCUAAUCUUUAAUUACUACUCUAAUGUUUCAAAUAUUAGAGCACUUGAUGCAAGCGGGAAUCCAAUAAAUAACUUGAAUGUAAAUAAAAGUAAUUAAAGAACUCAGAAUUAUGAAUUGAAGAACCUGGAGAACGAUGAAGAACGAACCAGUUGCUGCAAAAGUACAAUGUUGAGGAAGAUCCGACAGAUCCGGCUCCUCCUCCUCCUCCGCUCUCCUCUUCUCUCUCCCUAUUUUCUAGAUUACAACUAGAACUAACUAGAACUAGAACUAGAGGAACUAGAACUAGAACUAGAUGAACUAGAACUAGAUCUAGAUGAACUAGAGGUAGAACUAGAAGAACUAGAGGGAUCCUCUCUACUUGGAUGAAGAAUUGAAACCCUAACUUUGAUUCUGUAGAAGAGGUAUGAUCUCCAGGGGCCAGGGGGUCUGGUUUUAUAGUCCCUCUAAGUGAAUAUGGGUCGUUGGAUCAAACCGACAUUGAUUGAACGGUUAUCCUUGAUCCUUUAGGUCGGUGGAGCAAUAUCCCGAAAGAGAGUCCUGAUUGGACUCUAUGUGAGGGCGGGCGCCCAGGAGAGUAGGGCGGACGCCCUAUCCCUGAGUCCUCUUGGCUUCCCGUUCGUUCCCGUGGCUUUUGGAGUCUUCUAGAUGGUAGAAAAUUGCGCAGCACGUUAAUAUCUCUAUGUAAACCCGACGUGUGGGCCUUUCCUCCGUAUUUCCUGAUAACCCCCUGCAGAAAUAGACAAACACCAAAACUCGUGGAAUUCUGUCAGAUAAAAUCCUAAGUCUGGUGUUGGUUGCAUAUAGAUCCUUUUCCAUGAUUAGUUGACGGUUAAAUUUGAGCAUUAAGGACCGUCAACAAGCUCCCCCAAGCUUAACCUUUGCUCGUCCCUGAGCAAAGAUGAACUUAAGAGUUUCUGCAGUGGUUUCAUUCCUUAAAGGUACACAUGCGUUCAAGCAAGAUCUCAUCUCUGGGUUAGGGUAAACUAUUAAGAUUUAAACUUACUCAUUUUUCCUUCCACCAUGGGGCUUGCACCCGUCACUUGUGUCUUGAGCAGUUAAAAGAUAGAACGGUCUAGUCAAGCGUCAUGUCUCUUGUUCUUCGAUUAACUAUAGCUCUGAAGUUUUUGCAGAUUUUCAAAUAAAACUCAGAGAUUCCUUAUAUGACUCUCUCUAGUCUCUCUUUUGUGGUAUUUCUGGAUCCUUACCAAGGCAGUAAUAGUGUAUGCCUUCUCUCAAAGUAUGUGGUAUUUUUGGUAUGAGGCAUAGUGACAUUGCCUUCUCUCUCACCCUACUCUAAUAAGGUUUUGAUAUCUGGAGCUCAUAGGUGGGAGAUAGCUAAUACAUACUUACAAGACAUUUAUUGCAUAGUCAAACCAUGGAUCCAGAAGAACAAGUCAAUAAGUCAAAUCAAGAUGUGCAUGUGUGGCGAAUGAAUGGUGUAUGGUGAUGAUGGUGAUAACAAUGGUGAAAGUCCAAUUCUACUUAUGCUCUUUUGAGAGGAUACAUACCUUUCUUGCUCUUUUGAAACUUUUUGAGGAGAAUGAGAUGCUCUAUAUUUUCUUUUUCUUUUCUCUCAGGUGGGUAUCUUGUACCCCUAAUUCUACUAUCGGACACUUGUCCAUUUUUACCUCUCGUCUCACUUUUUCUUUUCCUUCGAGGUUCCGGGCACUUGCCCCUUUUUAUUUCCUCGUAUCUUUUUUUUCUCUCUCUCUUCUUUUUUUAGAGCACUCAUCACUUGAAAUAAUGUAACAAGUGGUAGUAACCAAGAUAACUUGAGCAUUUAUUUCACAGAGGAAAACAGAAAUGAUUUUGGCUAUUCUCUCCCGGAUUAGGAGUAGAAUAUUUUUGGGUGGUUUUGGAGAUGGAAAUGGGUUGAUAUAUGUGGAUGCGUACUUCCGGAGUAGAAGCAGCAUGUGUGAAUGAACGUGCAAGUGAAUCUUAAUUUAACCACAUGACAAGCUCCUAAGGGUCUACACAGCUUGACCACACUCAAUGCUCAUAAGCAGUAAAAAGUAAAUGUGUGGCUCAAAGUCUAGCAAGCAUGUAUAUAUGGCUGUGGUAGGAAUUUAAACUCUCAUCAUACAGGAACUCUUCAUGUGUUAUUUUAAAGAUUUUCAAAGAUAAACUUCUCCAGUUUUCUAGCAUCUCUAGGAACAGAUAAACAGCAGCUCAACCUUCCCAUGUCGUAUCCGUUAACGACUUAGACUUUAGAUCAAGUACUCUUCCCACAAGUUCAGGUUUAGAGCAAUGCUUAAUUAAUAACAAUCAUGCCUAAACUUGAGAGAGAUUUCAAUUUUGAGAAUUAGUCAUGGCAGAGCAACUAUUCAUCAUUUCCAUGUGAGAGCUAUCAUGAGGGUUCAUAGCAGACUUUAUUUAUUUAUUUAUUUAGCAAACUAAACAAAUAUACAUAUAAGCACAAAAUCUUUAUUUGGGUUUUUAUGAUUAUACAUCUUUUUAUUAUUUGAGUAAAGUAUAAACGUGAGUAGAACACUUAGCUGGAUAAAAGGGGGUGCUCUCCCCCAAGCUGGAUUUUGAUGUAAUUUCUUCUGACGUAGCUAGCAGGUGGUGGAGGUCUAUUUGAAUGUCGGUAGCACCCUGACAGCGAUUAGGAUGUCCUUCGUCUGCUAGUCUUCUUUGAUCCUUGAAUUCUGUGGAGCUCAAAUAGACAACAAAGCUUUGUGGAACUGGUUAAGUGUUAGCAUAAAAUCUCUUAGCCGUUAUCAUGUUGAACUUCCUCUAAUAAAUAUUACUCUCUUU